RNAcentral lists this ribosomal RNA (406 nucleotides) under uncultured bacterium. RNAcentral's name for it is "partial 16S ribosomal RNA". It matches the Rfam family "Bacterial small subunit ribosomal RNA", at positions 30 to 526 of the family's 1533-position model. The record is from RNAcentral.
AUUGAACGCUGGCGGCAGGCCUAACACAUGCAAGUCGAACGAGUGGCGGACUGGUGAGUAAUGUCUGGGAAACUGCGCGAUGGAGGGGGAUAACUACUGGAAACGGUAGCUAAUACCGCAUACCAUCGGAUGUGCCCCGAUGGGAGUAGCUAGUAGGUGGGGUAACGGCUCACCUAGGCGACGAUCCCUAGCUGGUCUGAGAGGAUGACCAGCCACACUGGAACUGAGACACGGACCAGACUCCUACGGGAGGCAGCAGUGGGGAAUAUUGCACAAUGGGCGAAAGCCUGAUGCAGCCAUGCCGCGUGUAUGAAGAAGGUCUUCGGGUUGUAAAGUACUUUCAGUGAGGAGGCGUUACUCGCAGAAGAAGCCCCGGCUAACUCCGUGCCAGCAGCCGCGGUAAUUC